Long non-coding RNA from Eriocheir sinensis (Chinese mitten crab), 867 nucleotides. RefSeq lists it as uncharacterized. The record is from RefSeq and is a predicted model, not a curated record. The transcript is spliced from 3 exons. Lineage: Eukaryota; Metazoa; Arthropoda; Malacostraca; Decapoda; Varunidae.
GACUGAGGGGAGAUAAAGGCACAGGCAGUACAACAGUGUGCCGCAUGGAACACUCUUGGCGGAAACACCCACAGAAAAAUAACUGAAGAACACAGAAGAAGGAAGACCAGAGAGGGAGGAAGGAAGCCAUGCUGGGCCUCAGAGGUCUGGAGAAGAAGAGGAAGAAGAUGCAAGGAACUGAAGAAUACAGAAGAAGGAAGACCAGAGAGGGAGGAAGGAAGCCAUGCUGGGCCUCAGAGGUCUGGAGAAGAAGAGGAAGAAGAUGCAAGGAACUGAAGAAUACAGAAGAAGGAAGACCAGAGAGGGAGGAAGGAAGCCAUGCUGGGCCUCAGAGGUCUGGAGAAGAAGAGGAAGAAGAUGCAAGGAACUGAAGAAUACAGAAGAAGGAAGACCAGAGAGGGAGGAAGGAAGCCAUGCUGGGCCUCAGAGGUCUGGAGAAGAAGAGGAAGAAGAUGCAAGGAACUGAAGAACACAGAAGAAGGAAGACCAGAGAGGGAGGAAGGAAGCCAUGCUGGGCCUCAGAGGUCUGGAGAAGAUGAAUGAAUGAAGAAAUAAUGAUGGUACUCUGCGGGCGAGUGCCUGCCUUGAGGCAUUGAGAGGGGCUGUGUGCCUGCUGGACGCCGCCUGCUAGGGGACCGCGGCCACCCUUGUCCGAGGCAGCUGCUGACCCCCUGCCUUCACCCUUGGCCAAGGCCACAGACACACCAUAACGAACUGCUGCUGAAGGCUGGCUGACAGCUGGACUGUCCCGCCACUGUGUGCAGGCCAGUCAGACAGGUGGCCUGCCGCCCCUGCUGGGGAGCACAUGUGUCCCAUCCUGCCCUGCAGACACAGACAGAUGCUGGACCUCAGCACCCAGGAGGACAC